RNAcentral lists this ribosomal RNA (253 nucleotides) under uncultured bacterium. Its description in RNAcentral is "partial 16S ribosomal RNA". It matches the Rfam family "Bacterial small subunit ribosomal RNA", at positions 524 to 776 of the family's 1533-position model. The record is from RNAcentral.
UACGAAGGGGGCUAGCGUUGCUCGGAAUCACUGGGCGUAAAGGGUGCGUAGGCGGGUCUUUAAGUCAGGGGUGAAAUCCUGGAGCUCAACUCCAGAACUGCCUUUGAUACUGAGGAUCUUGAGUCCGGGAGAGGUGAGUGGAACUGCGAGUGUAGAGGUGAAAUUCGUAGAUAUUAGGAAGAACACCGGUGGCGAAGGCGGCCCACUGGAUCGGUACUGACGCUGAGGUGCGAAAGCGUGGGGAGCAAACAGG